GCGCCGGUGGUGUAAUGGCGUAGAGCAUUCCCGCCCGGUUAGAGGGAGGUGCGGGUUCGAGUCCCGCCUGGUGCU
Non-coding RNA from Heligmosomoides polygyrus, 75 nucleotides. Lineage: Eukaryota; Metazoa; Nematoda; Chromadorea; Rhabditida; Heligmosomidae. The record is from Rfam.